Molecule: long non-coding RNA, 3716 nt
Organism: Macadamia integrifolia
Lineage: Eukaryota; Viridiplantae; Streptophyta; Magnoliopsida; Proteales; Proteaceae
Exons: 3
Source: RefSeq, a predicted model, not a curated record
GCACUACUACAUGAACUUGGAUGUAGAUGAGCCUUACUUAUAGCAAAGAUUAUAGAAUUGCAGAUAAGUUUUGCUUAUGUCUUCUAUUUGUUUCUGAAUAUCAUUCAUGUUGAUGAUUUAAAAAAUAAAUCCUUAAUUGAUCAUUUAUAUGCUGCACGUUUUUAGAACUGAUCUAUCUCCUUCCUUUGUCAUUUACACCUUGUUGUGGUAUUACUAUAGGAGGAACUGCUGGUGUGGGAAAGCUACAGGGGACUCUUCACUGUCUAAUCUUAAAAGUAGGACUUUUAAUCUAGAUAGGAGGCUGCGCUAAUAAGAAAUCAACGUCAUGCUGAAAUUGGGCCCUAUUUUUCUUGCUUUUGAUAUCUGCAUUUAAUAAUUUUUUUUGUAGUUUAUUAUAUUAUAAACCUCUGAUGGAUAUUUCUUGUAGCAAUUUGAUCGCCGUUAUUGUGGCCUAACAAGGACCACAGAGAAGGCUGAUAACAAAAUGUUUGUUUCGGUAAAAUUUUAAAGGGUUAUUCAUGUCUUAGAGCAAGUGGAUAAACAUGUAUGUUAUUUUCACAACAAGAUUUGUUUAAGGCGGCAAUCUGGUAGGUUCAAGUCUGAACAGCCAAAACCUACUGAAGACUUAUUUGAGAUAGAAGAUACUAAAUUUCCACCAAUCUAGUGCUUUAUGAUUAAAUCCUUGAAGAAAGUUUAUGUCUUCUUAACUAUCAGUGAUAUCUAUAUCAUUCAAUAUUGAUUCUUUUAUGUGGAUUAAAAACGGUGUUAAAGUGUAAUAUCAUCCCCCACAAAAAAAAGAAGAAGAAGAAGAAGAAGAAGAAGAAGAAGAAGAAGAAGAAGAAGAAGAAGAAGAAAAAAAAAGAAAAAAAAAGAAAAAGAAAAGAGAAUUACUUUUUGCACAUGCUUUUUAAAUUUCAUGUAUCUUUUUAUUGUUCAGGUUAACUUGUAAAAAUGAAAUGUUCACAUUAGGGGUGUCAAUCAGUUUGGUUCGGUUUCGAUCUCAACACCGAAACCAAACAAAUAAGGAAAAUCCGAUUUUAGUUUGGCUUUGGUUUCAGUUCGGUUUGACGGUUUGCUGUAUCUAUUUGUAAUUGGGUUGGCUUUGGUUUUUGGUUCGGUUAGGCUUCUAUUUGCCAUACAAAAUUAUGCAAAAACCUGGUUUUUAAUGAGUUUUGGGCUGAUUUCGAUUUCUUGUUGGCUUUGUUUUGGUUUGGCUUUGGGGUCAUAACAUCCAAACAGUAAGCAGUCCAAUAACACUUCGGCUUGGUUUGGUCCGGGGCUAUUUCCAGUUCAGUUUUACUAGUUCGGUCUAGAUUUUGACACCCUAAUUCAUGUUCCUGUUCUAUGCGUUUAUACAUUCUUGAAGGAAUCAAGGUUUUGUUUAUGUAAUCUUGUGUACUUCACCUUUACUUAUUGUUCUUUUGAUCUUUUGAAGGUGGCAUAGAAGCUCUACCAAUAAUUUAAGCUAUAGAGGAAUUUUGAUGAGAAAAUUCGAAUUUUGUUUCCUUUCCUUACAUUCUGUUUUUUUCCAAUCCCAUAAGCAUUGAGCUUCUCAAGAAUGUUACGUAUUUGAUCUUUCUACUAAUCCCGUGAUUGUUAAUGCUUGUUAGGUCUAGGAAAACUCAGUUCAUACCCUGCGUCUUCUAACAUGUUCCUUUCUUUCCAUUUUACAAACUUGCACUUAAAUCGUAGUUUGCUUUGAAAUUAUCUGCUUACAAGUUUGCAUGCUUUAGAGUAACAUUUCUUUUUUCCUUUUCUAAUGUAUCGCAUUCAAGUUGCAACUGACCAAUGGUCAUUGUUUCAAGGAUUAAGAAUCAGAUUGAUGAAUCAGUCUUUUCAGAUCGGCAUCAGUGGUCACUGAUCCUUAUUUUGAAUGCUUUUUAUUUAUGGAACAUCAAUGAGAAGGCUUUAGAAAACCCUUAGCAGUUUGGUUCGUUUGCAGAAUACACUGAUGUUGAGGAGAAAUUGAAGGCUCCAAAACCUAAGAAUCUGGAUUUUUUUCAGCUUGCUGGCCUUCCUCUUGCCAUUGAGACUACCCAUGAGGGUCUGGAAAUAUCUGGAUUUUCUCCUGGUAAAUCUAUUCUUGUAUUGGGUGGUACAGGUGAAGUUGGAAGCUUGGUAAUUCAGGUUUUUUUUCCUCCAUUUCAAUUUCCACUUCAUAUAUUAGUCGCAGUUAUCAAGGACAUCAUCUUAAGUUGCAGAACACACUUAACACUUUCUUGCUUAUAAAUAUGAUUUAUUUUCUUCUGAAUAUUAUAGAAAAGUUUAUCAUACCCUACUUGAGCCUGCAAGUACUAGAAACAGACCUGCUCUUUGUAUGUUAAGUGAUCCUAUCUUCAAAAAUCCUUUUCAAGUAGUAUUACCAUAUGGGCUGGCAUUUAGAGGGUUCUUCAGGUAGGCCUUGGUUCUGCCAUAUGGUAGGUCAGAUGGGGCUGUUGUUUCGUGGACAAGUGCCCACAUGUCAAGUUUUAUCCUAAUCAAAGUUGUCGAAGUGGCAAGAUCAAGUGUUGAUCAAUUAAGCAGUCUAAAGAGGGUCCACAGAAAACGAUGGAUAAUUGAAAAAUAUACCAAUGCAUGGACAAAUAUGGGAAGGUAUUUGAUUGAAUUUGGGCCUGAAAUUUGACACAUAGCUUUCCUGACCAUUUCCCAAGAUAUCCCACUGUCUGAAUUGCCAUAUUACCCCUCCACAUUGCAGAAAUAGGUCCACUUAGAAAACCUCUUUCAGCAGGCUAGUCUAGAAAAACUUUUAACUCUUAGAAUUAGAAUUGAACUCAUAAUAGUCUUCUUUACUUUCACUGCCUUGAUGCAUUCUUAUUCCUUUUACCAAACUUUGUCAACCUUCCUCCCCCCUAAUGGAAUUAUAAAUUAAAUGCAUAAUGGUUCUGAAUCACCUAACAUUUAUUUCACUUAGCCUCUAACUUUGGUUUGAGGCAGCUAGCAAAGGAGGUAUUUGGUGCAUUUAAAAGUUCCAAACUUACUAAAUAUGUGGAAGUUAGUUCUGUAUUGCUUAUCACUUAUUUCAUUUUUCCCUCGCUUUGGUUCGAGGCAGCUAGCAAAAGAGGUAUUUGGUGCAUCAAAAGUUGCUGCUACUUCAAGCACUGGCAAACUGGAUGCAAUAGAGGCAAGAGCUGUAGGAUUGAACAUAGUGAGGGAGAUAUGCCUACGCAAAAGAAUAAGCGAAGAUUAUUUUAGUGAUACAUGGGCUGAAUAGAAAGGAUUCCAAUGCAAAAUCAGAAACUCAUAAUAUUUGUUGGGAUGAGCAACUGAGUAUCAAACUAAUGGAUUCCUCUACAUUUGAGCUGAGUAUUCCCCCACACCAACCUCUCCCUCUCCCUUUCCCUUUCCCUUUCUCUCUCUCUCUCUCUCUUUCUCUCAAAUGGGAACAUGCAUAAUAAGUAGCGGACAUAAAUCAGUCUAUGUGAUAGAGGAUUUCAUACCCAUUCUAUGGUUAAGUUUCAACCUAAAUAAAUAUACAUUGUCGCUCAUACUUAGUUCAAAAUUAUGAAAGGGCUAGAGAUGUACCCCAAAUGAUGGUGGAUCCUUGUGCAAUUUAGUCACUUAAAACUUUGGACACACUGCAUGACUUUCUCAUUUUGGGAUGAAAUUUACACAUUGAGAUUUGUGCUGUAUUGGUGAAUUUAACCAAGUUGACCAGCUUUUAUGAUCCAGAUCAUUCUGGAUAGCUGAUUUGUGGUAGCAAACCCAUAUUCAGUGGA